GGGGAAUAUUGCACAAUGGGGGAAACCCUGAUGCAGCGACGCCGCGUGGAGGAAGAAGGUCUUCGGAUUGUAAACUCCUGUUGUUGAGGAAGAUAAUGACGGUACUCAACAAGGAAGUGACGGCUAACUACGUGCCAGCAGCCGCGGUAAAACGUAGGUCACAAGCGUUGUCCGGAAUUACUGGGUGUAAAGGGAGCGCAGGCGGGCGAUCAAGUUGGAAGUGAAAUCCAUGGGCUCAACCCAUGAACUGCUUUCAAAACUGAUUGUCUUGAGUAGUGCAGAGGUAGGCGGAAUUCCCGGUGUAGCGGUGGAAUGCGUAGAUAUCGGGAGGAACACCAGUGGCGAAGGCGGCCUACUGGGCACCAACUGACGCUGAGGCUCGAAAGUGUGGGUAGCAAACAGGAUUAGAUACCCUGGUAGUCCACACCGUAAACGAUGAUUACUAGGUGUUGGAGGAUUGACCCCUUCAGUGCCGCAGUUAACACAAUAAGUAAUCCACCUGGGGAGUACGACCGCAAGGUUGAAACUCAAAGGAAUUGACGGGGGCCCGCACAAGCAGUGGAGUAUGUGGUUUAAUUCGACGCAACGCGAAGAACCUUACCAAGUCUUGACAUCCUGCGACGAUNCUAGAAAUAGUGUUUUCCUUCGGGACGCAGAGACAGGUGGUGCAUGGUUGUCGUCAGCUCGUGUCGUGAGAUGUUGGGUUAAGUCCCGCAACGAGCGCAACCCUUAUGGUCAGUUACUACGCAAGAGGACUCUGGCCAGACUGCCGUUGACAAAACGGAGGAAGGUGGGG
RNAcentral lists this ribosomal RNA (796 nucleotides) under uncultured bacterium. RNAcentral's name for it is "bacterial SSU rRNA". It matches the Rfam family "Bacterial small subunit ribosomal RNA", at positions 356 to 1178 of the family's 1533-position model. The record is from RNAcentral.